This 253-nucleotide ribosomal RNA is filed under the name uncultured bacterium. RNAcentral describes it as "partial 16S ribosomal RNA". It matches the Rfam family "Bacterial small subunit ribosomal RNA", at positions 524 to 776 of the family's 1533-position model. The record is from RNAcentral.
GACAGAGGGGGCAAGCGUUGCUCGGAAUUACUGGGCGUAAAGGGCGCGUAGGCGGAAUGGCAAGUCGGUCGUGAAAUCCUUCGGCUCAACCGAAGAACGUCGAUCGAAACUGCCGUUCUUGAGGAUUGCAGAGGAGACUGGAAUUCCCGGUGUAGCGGUGAAAUGUGUAGAGAUCGGGAGGAACACCGGUGGCGAAGGCGGCCCACUGGUCCGGUACUGACGCUGAGGUGCGAAAGCGUGGGGAGCAAACAGG